RNAcentral lists this RNase P RNA (302 nucleotides) under Candidatus Aciduliprofundum sp. RNAcentral's name for it is "Aciduliprofundum sp. RNase P RNA component". It matches the Rfam family "Archaeal RNase P". From Rfam's summary of the family: Ribonuclease P (RNase P) is a ubiquitous endoribonuclease, found in archaea, bacteria and eukarya as well as chloroplasts and mitochondria. Its best characterised activity is the generation of mature 5'-ends of tRNAs by cleaving the 5'-leader elements of precursor-tRNAs. The record is from RNAcentral. Lineage: Archaea; Methanobacteriati; Thermoplasmatota.
AAGAGCCCAAGGGCAACUGACGUUGAAAACCCUCAGGGGUUUUCGAUGAGGAAAGUCCCCUCUCACGAACGGCCCGGCCUGUCGCAAGGCAGGAUCCCGAGAGGGAUGGCAAUGGAACAGAAACGCCACAGCUCAGGUAAUAAGGAUGAUUCCCGCUGGGGAUGACUUUCCCUGAGAUUUGUUGAAACGGCCAACCCCGGGUGAGCAAGCCCAAACAGAUGGGAUGAUAGGUUCUUGACCAUCGGGUAGGGCGCAUUAGUCGAAUGUUGCCUGAAACAGAAAGGGGCUUACUAUGGGCACUU